RNAcentral lists this ribosomal RNA (345 nucleotides) under uncultured bacterium. RNAcentral describes it as "partial 16S ribosomal RNA". It matches the Rfam family "Bacterial small subunit ribosomal RNA", at positions 338 to 682 of the family's 1533-position model. The record is from RNAcentral.
CCUACGGUGUGCUGCAGUGAGGAAUAUUGGUCAAUGGGCGGGAGCCUGAACCAGCCAUGCCGCGUGAAGGCGAGUGCCCUACGGGCGUUAAACUUCUUUGGUGCGGGAGCAAGAAGGGCCACGGGGGGCCCGAUGAGAGUACCGCACGAAUAAGCAGCGGCUAACCCCGUGCCAGCAGCCGCGGUAAUACGGGGGAUGCUAGCGUUAUCCGGAUUGAUGGGGUUUCAAGGGGGCGUAGGCGGUCCGUUACGUCAGCGGUAACAUUGCGGGGCUCACCCCCGUCGAGCCGUUGAAACUGGCAGACUUGCGUUGGCGAGAAGUACGCGGAAUGCGCGGUGUAGCGGU